This 507-nucleotide ribosomal RNA is filed under the name uncultured bacterium. Its description in RNAcentral is "partial 16S ribosomal RNA". The record is from RNAcentral.
GGAGUUAGCCGGUGCUUCUUCUGUGAGUGAUGUCCUUCCUGCCGGCUAUUAACCCGCAGGCCUUCUUCCUCACUGAAAGUGCUUUACAACCCGAAGGCCUUCUUCACACACGCGGCAUGGCUGGAUCAGGGUUGCCCCCAUUGUCCAAUAUUCCCCACUGCUGCCUCCCGUAGGAGUCUGGGCCGUGUCUCAGUCCCAGUGUGGCUGAUCAUCCUCUCAGACCAGCUACGGAUCGUCGCCUUGGUGAGCCGUUACCUCACCAACCAGAUAAUCCGACAUAGGCUCAUCCGAUAGCGCGAGGCCCGAAGGUCCCCCGCUUUCCCCCGUAGGGCGUAUGCGGUAUUAGCCUGGGUUUCCCCAGGUUAUCCCCCACUACCGGGCAGAUUCCUAUGCAUUACUCACCCGUCCGCCGCUCGCCACCAGGGAGCAAGCUCCCCGUGCUGCCGCUCGACUUGCAUGUGUUAGGCCUGCCGCCAGCGUUCAAUCUGAGCCAGAAUCGAACCCUGA